Molecule: long non-coding RNA, 627 nt
Organism: Xenopus laevis (African clawed frog)
Lineage: Eukaryota; Metazoa; Chordata; Amphibia; Anura; Pipidae
Exons: 2
Source: RefSeq, a predicted model, not a curated record
UCCUUAAUGGACUUUCCCUUACCCCUGUCUAUAUCCUACCAUUUGGUCUGGUCCCUCCUCAGUGCUUUAGUUCCACAGAAGAGGUAAGAUGUCUGUUACUGCUCUAAUCACCUCAAAAGUUUUAUGGUUGAUUUUAAGAGUUAUUCUUUUGCUGAAUCAACUUGUCUUACCUCCAGCUAUAGCAGCAUUAUGCUUUUAUCAGGUUAGUACUGUGUAGCAUAUUCCCAAAGUGAUUAAUGGAGACAGGCAGAGCACAUGGGAUCUAAAAUGUCUGCCAUGAGAAAACCUGUAUGCUGUAAUCCUCACAGUUAUAAACUGCUUAUUGUACUAUGCUGAGGUUGUUAUGUACUAAUGUGCUUUGUAUAUUAGCUAUGUUGCUUUUCCUUACAUUUUCCUGUAAUAUGUCAGUGGGGGUGUAUUGAAUUAACUGCCUGUUGUAAUGUAGGUGGGCUGGUGGCCUGUGAUGUACCUGAAAUUGGCAGCGUUCUCCUUACUGUUUUACAGUGCUUUAGUUCCACAGAAGAGGUGGGCUGGUGGCCUGUGAUGUACCUGAAAUUGGCAGCGUUCUCCUUACUGUUUUACAGGUCCCCAGCAGACAGUGCCAAUCAAUAAAGCAUUGUAAAGUUA